Molecule: ribosomal RNA, 301 nt
Filed under: uncultured bacterium
Lineage: Bacteria
Description: partial 16S ribosomal RNA
Rfam family: Bacterial small subunit ribosomal RNA
Source: RNAcentral
CAGUAGCCGCGGGAAUACGUAGGUGGCAAGCGUUGUCCGGAAUUAUUGGGCGUAAAGCGCGCGCAGGCGGUUUCUUAAGUCUGAUGUGAAAGCCCCCGGCUUAACCGGGGAGGGUCAUUGGAAACUGGGAGACUUAGAGUGCAGAAGAGGAGAGUGGAAUUCCAUGUGUAGCGGUGAAAUGCGUAGAUAUAUGGAGGAACACCAGUGGCGAAGGCGACUCUCUGGUCUGUAACUGACGCUGAGGCGCGAAAGCGUGGGGAGCAAACAGGAUUAGAUACCCCCGUAGUCCCUGUCUCUUAUU